Paramuricea clavata is the source of this 324-nucleotide non-coding RNA. The record is from the annotation of a GenBank genome assembly. NCBI's taxonomy places the organism in Eukaryota, Metazoa, Cnidaria, Anthozoa, Malacalcyonacea, Plexauridae.
AUGUGUUCUCGCAUGCGCUAUCAAGCCGUAGAUCACGAUGGCGUGACGAUGCUAGGAAGGAGCGACUAUUAAUGGAAGCGACACAGUGUUGUUUUCAAAUGUAUAAUUAUAACAUUUCAGACGUGAAUAUUGAGUAAAUCUUUGAGAAUCUACGCAAUAUAUAAACCGGUGUUAUGCAUUACGGGCAUUCAAUCAAGUAUCGAUAUUAUUUAGGCGGUAUAUUCAUUAUACAGAGCUAGGAAGCAGCUAGACACUGCUUUUUUUUCAAAUGUAUAAACAUUUCAGACGUGAAUAUAGAGUAAGGUAAAUCUUUGAGAAUCUACG